AGCACAAUACGAUGCAGUACAAUUAUUUAAUUUAUACCCUAGGACAGUCUUCUUUAUAUUCAUUUACCAUAGUUUAGUGUAUUAGUAGUUUUAGCAGUGCUUGCGGGUGAAGUUGUUGUGUGUGUGCAAGCUUUUUGUGUUUAGCUAUCGACUUAAAAAAUUAUGCUUGUACAGGCCGCCUGCCACGCGGCUUUAUGCUUUCUGAUAUUUGCCACAUCUCUUCCUCUCCCAAUUCAUACUCAAAGUUAUCAAAGAAGCGUAUAAUGCGUUCGUUGCGCUUGAAAUUGUACUCACUGUGGGCAAAGAAGGAGAGGGAUAAGAAAGAUAAAAAAAUAUGGUAUUGCUGCCAACGUUUGGAGAAAUUAACCACACCUUCUUUCAAAUAGUCUGGGUUGCCAACAUGUACGAAUGUUAAGUCCUGCAGCACCAAUCCACU
Molecule: long non-coding RNA, 436 nt
Organism: Anastrepha obliqua
Lineage: Eukaryota; Metazoa; Arthropoda; Insecta; Diptera; Tephritidae
Exons: 3
Source: RefSeq, a predicted model, not a curated record